This 450-nucleotide ribosomal RNA is filed under the name uncultured bacterium. Its description in RNAcentral is "partial 16S ribosomal RNA". It matches the Rfam family "Bacterial small subunit ribosomal RNA", at positions 354 to 796 of the family's 1533-position model. The record is from RNAcentral.
GUGGGGAAUCUUCCACAAUGGACGAAAGUCUGAUGGAGCAACGCCGCGUGAGUGAAGAAGGGUUUCGGCUCGUAAAGCUCUGUUGUCGGGGACGAAUGUGCAGUAUUUGAAUAAAGUAUUGCAAUGACGGUACCUGACGAGGAAGCCACGGCUAACUACGUGCCAGCAGCCGCGGUAAUACGUAGGUGGCAAGCGUUGUCCGGAAUUAUUGGGCGUAAAGGGAGCGCAGGCGGGAAGGUAAGUCGGUCUUAAAAGUGCGGGGCUCAACCCCGUGAUGGGAUCGAAACUAGCUUUCUUGAGUGCAGGAGAGGAAAGUGGAAUUCCUAGUGUAGCGGUGAAAUGCGUAGAUAUUAGGAGGAACACCAGUGGCGAAGGCGACUUUCUGGACUGUAACUGACGCUGAGGCUCGAAAGCCAGGGGAGCGAACGGGAUUAGAUACCCCGGUAGUCC